GAUGGCAUGGGCGGGAGGAGGAAGAAGGGCAUCAAGGAGAAGAUCAAGGAGAAGCUCCCUGGUGGCCACGGUGACCAGCAGCACACCGGUGGCACCUACGGACAGCAGGGUACUGGCAUGGCCGGCACCGGCGGCACCUACGGGCAGCAGGGUCACACUGGGAUGGCCGGCACCGGUGGCACCUACGGACAGCAAGGCCACACUGGGAUGGCCGGCACCGGCGGCGCCUACGGGCAGCAGGGUCACACUGGGAUGACCGGCACCGGCGGCACCUACGGACAGCAGGGCCACACUGGGAUGGCCGGCACCGGAGCACAUGGCACCACGGCCACCGGCGGCACCUACGGGCAGCAGGGCCACACCGGGAUGACAGGCACAGGGGCGCACGGCACUGGCGGCGCGUACGGGCAACACGGCACGGACACCGGCGAGAAGAAGGGCAUCAUGGACAAGAUCAAGGAGAAGCUCCCUGGCCAGCACUGAGCGCUGAGCAGAGCCCGCGGUCGCCACUUCUGAGAGUGGGGGUGCCGGUCGACCACCGUUGCAGAAUCAAUAAUAAGAUGGCGAUACAAUAAAAUUCCACCAUACAACGUGAGCCUAGUUCACCUAGCUCACUUGCGUGUUGGAGGAGCCACUGUAUCUAGGCUCAAGUUUACGUGAACAAACAGUGUUGUUUGUUUUGAGUUACUCGUCUGUUUACACUGUAUAAUUUUGUAAAUUUCCUUCUGGUUAAACCGUGUAUGUAUGCUUACGGUAUGGUGUGGUACAGAUAAGUUCUUUUAUCAAAUAUAUACUCCUAUAAUACUGUCUUAAGAGUAGCUUAAGAGCAUCAUAUGUACUCCCUCCGUUCGGAGGGAGUAUAUAUUACAGUCUACAAAGGGAAGUGGGAAGUUGGUGGCAGAACCGGCCUUGUGAUGAAA
This 920-nucleotide long non-coding RNA is filed under the name Triticum aestivum (bread wheat). RNAcentral's name for it is "long non-coding RNA (TAES_LNC013701)". Lineage: Eukaryota; Viridiplantae; Streptophyta; Magnoliopsida; Poales; Poaceae. The record is from RNAcentral.